RNAcentral lists this ribosomal RNA (355 nucleotides) under uncultured Desulfobulbus sp. Its description in RNAcentral is "bacterial SSU rRNA". It matches the Rfam family "Bacterial small subunit ribosomal RNA", at positions 1028 to 1382 of the family's 1533-position model. The record is from RNAcentral. Lineage: Bacteria; Pseudomonadati; Thermodesulfobacteriota; Desulfobulbia; Desulfobulbales; Desulfobulbaceae.
CUGGAGACAGGUGCUGCAUGGCUGUCGUCAGCUCGUGUCGUGAGAUGUUCGGGUUAAGUCCCGCAACGAGCGCAACCCUUGCCUUUAGUUGCCAGCAGUUCGGCUGGGCACUCUAAAGGGACUGCCGGUGUUAAACCGGAGGAAGGUGGGGAUGACGUCAAGUCCUCAUGGCCUUUAUGACCAGGGCUACACACGUACUACAAUGGCCGAUACAAAGGGCAGCGACACUGCGAGGUGAAGCCAAUCCCGUAAAAUCGGUCUCAGUCCGGAUUGGAGUCUGCAACUCGACUCCAUGAAGUUGGAAUCGCUAGUAAUCGUGGAUCAGCAUGCCACGGUGAAUACGUUCCCGGGCCUU